This 253-nucleotide ribosomal RNA is filed under the name uncultured bacterium. RNAcentral describes it as "partial 16S ribosomal RNA". It matches the Rfam family "Bacterial small subunit ribosomal RNA", at positions 524 to 776 of the family's 1533-position model. The record is from RNAcentral.
UACGUAGGGCGCAAGCGUUAUCCGGAAUUAUUGGGCGUAAAGAGCUCGUAGGCGGUUUGUCGCGUCUGCCGUGAAAGUCCGGGGCUCAACUCCGGAUCUGCGGUGGGUACGGGCAGACUAGAGUGAUGUAGGGGAGACUGGAAUUCCUGGUGUAGCGGUGAAAUGCGCAGAUAUCAGGAGGAACACCGAUGGCGAAGGCCGGUCUCUGGGCAUUAACUGACGCUGAGGAGCGAAAGCGUGGGGAGCGAACAGG